UAGUGUAAAUCAGUGUAACUAUGGUAUCUA
RNAcentral lists this non-coding RNA (30 nucleotides) under Mus musculus (house mouse). Lineage: Eukaryota; Metazoa; Chordata; Mammalia; Rodentia; Muridae. The record is from RNAcentral.